AUUCCUUAUUUUUGGUAGGUAAAAGGAGAGCCCAAUACCUCUUACAUCUGUGCUUAUAUUUCGAUCGACGGAGUACACUACAGCUAUUGACUUCUGGUUUGCUGGUUGUGUUGUUGCUGAACUACUUCUUGGACAAGAAUUCUGAUUGAAGCCUAAUGGAUAAACCGACUGAUCCUCCAAAGCGCCCGAUCACUCCAUUCAUUUUCUUUUGCCAAGAACAAUCAAUGGAGUUAAAAAAAACCAAAUGAAA
This is a non-coding RNA of Camellia sinensis, 250 nucleotides long. NCBI's taxonomy places the organism in Eukaryota, Viridiplantae, Streptophyta, Magnoliopsida, Ericales, Theaceae. The record is from RefSeq and is a predicted model, not a curated record.